GAGAUUCCCCCAGUAGCGGCGAGCGAACGGGGAGCAGCCCAGAGCCUGAAUCAGUGUGUGUGUUAGUGGAAGCGUCUGGAAAGGCGUGCGACACAGGGUGACAGCCCCGUACACAAAAAUGCACAUACUGUGAGCUCGAUGAGUAGGGCGGGACACGUGGUAUCCUGUCUGAAUAUGGGGGGACCAUCCUCCAAGGCUAAAUACUCCUGACUGACCGAUAGUGAACCAGUACCGUGAGGGAAAGGCGAAAAGAA
RNAcentral lists this ribosomal RNA (254 nucleotides) under Escherichia coli. RNAcentral describes it as "partial 23S ribosomal RNA". It matches the Rfam family "Bacterial large subunit ribosomal RNA", at positions 231 to 523 of the family's 2925-position model. The record is from RNAcentral. Lineage: Bacteria; Pseudomonadati; Pseudomonadota; Gammaproteobacteria; Enterobacterales; Enterobacteriaceae.